This 453-nucleotide ribosomal RNA is filed under the name uncultured bacterium. RNAcentral describes it as "partial 16S ribosomal RNA". It matches the Rfam family "Bacterial small subunit ribosomal RNA", at positions 28 to 523 of the family's 1533-position model. The record is from RNAcentral.
GAUUAACGUUGGCGGUAUGUAUAAUACAUGCAAGUCGAGCGCCCGUAGCAAUACGGGAGCGGCAGACGGGUGAGUAACACGUUGGGAACUACCUCGAACUCAGGGAUAACCCGCCGAAAGGCGUGGUCAAUACCGGAUGGUCCCGCAAGGGUAAAGAUUUUUCGGUUCGAGAGGUGCCUGCGGCUUAUCAGCUAGUUGGUGAGGUAAUGGCUCACCAAGGCUAUGACGAGUAGCUGGUCUGAGAGGAUGAUCAGCCACAAUGGGACUGAGAAAAGGCCCAUACUCCUACGGGAGGCAGCAGUAGAGAAUAUUUCGCAAUGGGGGAAACCCUGACGAAGCGAUACCGCGUGAAUGAUGAAGGUCGAAAGAUUGUAAAAUUCUUUUCUGGGGGAAUAAUUCUGAAGGUACCUCAGGAAUAAGCACCGGCUAACUCCGUGCCAGCCGCCGCCGUAA